AGACACACACAAUAACGAGGGACCAAUCCGAUGAGUAACCAGCGGCUUUAACCUCUACACUCAGAUAGCCGGUCCAAGUCUACACAAAUCCCUAUCUGAACAAUUAGAAAGAAUAUAUAUAUAUACAUAAUAUACAUAUAUCAAACAUGAUAUAUAGAAAAACUCGCAGCAUAGCACGGGUAUUCACCUAGUGUAUAAGAAAAGAAGGAUAUGUGAUGUGCUUAAGUUGUACAUGAUACAUAUGCAUAAUUAAUAUGAUCAAGCUGUUCAUCAAUAGGGACAAGAGGUUAUGUUGACUUCCUUCAACGGAAUAAGUCUCAACAAGAAGAGAAAGAAGCUCUUUCUCAGGAUGGGCGUGAAGCCAAUCGGGCAGCUCUGAAGAUGAAGCUUGCAGCAAAAUAAGCAGAGAGGAUGAAGAAACUUGUGUCUGCCUACUAGACACAAAAGGGGAAGAAAGAGAGAGAGAUUUACAACGUGCUAGAAGAGUCAAGGACUACAAGUCCACCAAACCGGAGUUACAACAUGCAAACUUCUGACCUUGAAUUUCUUUUUUCUUUUUUCUUUUUUUAAGAAGCUCCUUUAGUACACUGAUUCAAAUAGUGAUUGAUUCUUAUCAAACAAUUUUUCAAACAA
Molecule: long non-coding RNA, 633 nt
Organism: Arabidopsis lyrata subsp. lyrata
Lineage: Eukaryota; Viridiplantae; Streptophyta; Magnoliopsida; Brassicales; Brassicaceae
Exons: 2
Source: RefSeq, a predicted model, not a curated record